GAUGAAGAACGCAGCGAAAUGCGAUAAGUAAUGCGAAUUGCAGAAUUCAGUGAGUCAUCGAAUCUUUGAACGCACAUUGCGCCCUGUGGUAUUCCGGGGGGCAUGCCUGUCCGAGCGUCAUUGCUGCCCUCAAGCACGGCUUGUGUGUUGGGCCUCCGUCCUCCUCCCGGGGGACGGGCCCGAAAGGCAGCGGCGGCACCGCGUCCGGUCCUCGAGCGUAUGGGGCUUCGUCACCCGCUCUUGUAGGCCCGGCCGGCGCUUGCCGACACAUCAAUCUUUUUUCCAGGUUGACCUCGGAUCAGGUAGGGAUACCCGCUGAACUUAAGCAUAUCAAAAGCGGAGGA
This 344-nucleotide unclassified non-coding RNA is filed under the name soil metagenome. RNAcentral's name for it is "partial contains 5.8S ribosomal RNA, internal transcribed spacer 2, and large subunit ribosomal RNA". The stretch from base 1 to 120 matches the Rfam family "5.8S ribosomal RNA", at positions 35 to 154 of the family's 154-position model. The record is from RNAcentral.